CCUACGGGUGGCUGCAGUGGGGAAUAUUGGACAAUGGGCGAAAGCCUGAUCCAGCCAUGCCGCGUGUGUGAAGAAGGCCUUCGGGUUGUAAAGCACUUUCAGUGGGGAAGAAAGCCUUGGGGCUAAUACCCUCGAGGAAGGACAUCACCCACAGAAGAAGCACCGGCUAACUCCGUGCCAGCAGCCGCGGUAAUACGGAGGGUGCGAGCGUUAAUCGGAAUUACUGGGCGUAAAGCGCGCGUAGGCGGUCUGAUAAGCCGGUUGUGAAAGCCCCGGGCUCAACCUGGGAACGGCAUCCGGAACUGUCAGGCUAGAGUGCAGGAGAGGUAGGUAGAAUUCCCGGUGUAGCGGUGAAAUGCGUAGAGAUCGGGAGGAAUACCAGUGGCGAAGGCGGCCUUCUGGACUGACACUGACGCUGAGGUGCGAAAGCGUGGGUAGCAAACAGGAUUAGAUACCCUGGUAGUC
RNAcentral lists this ribosomal RNA (465 nucleotides) under Vreelandella stevensii. RNAcentral describes it as "partial 16S ribosomal RNA". It matches the Rfam family "Bacterial small subunit ribosomal RNA", at positions 338 to 795 of the family's 1533-position model. Lineage: Bacteria; Pseudomonadati; Pseudomonadota; Gammaproteobacteria; Oceanospirillales; Halomonadaceae. The record is from RNAcentral.